This is a long non-coding RNA of Mastomys coucha (southern multimammate mouse), 1496 nucleotides long. RefSeq lists it as uncharacterized. Lineage: Eukaryota; Metazoa; Chordata; Mammalia; Rodentia; Muridae. The transcript is spliced from 2 exons. The record is from RefSeq and is a predicted model, not a curated record.
ACAUUUCUGCACAUUUUCAUCUUCUAUUGCAAAUGUGUUAUUCAUGCUUGACUGUAGGUCUCUGAUAAUGUGAUCUGUAGGGAGUCACAGGUGUGGAAGCCUUUACUCUUUUUACUGUUUGUAAUGGUUAACUUAGUGUCUUUUCACAUGGAAGAUGCAAAACAAAUAAAAACAAGUGAAUCUUCUUGCUACCCAGGAGUUAUUAAAAACCAUGAGAAAUGCACAAAUAAGUAUAACAGGUCACACAUGUGUGUUACAUAAAAUAGAAGCAGUGGGGCUGGAGAGAUGGCUCAGAGGUUAAGAGCAGUGUUUCUCUUGCAGAUGACCUGGGCUCAGUUCCUAGCAUCUACAUGGCAGCUAGCAACCAUAUCUGUAUACCCCAGUUCUAGGGACUCCAACAAGCAUGUCCAUGGUGCAAUAUGUAUGCAGGCAAUACAUUCAUACACUUUAAGUAAAACAAGUAGAUCUAAAAAAAAAAAAAAAAUGUUUUUAAAAAUAGAGGCAGUGGUAUAAAGGAGAUAUAAAAAGUAGUUUUGGUCAUGCAGAGAGAACUACACGUGUAAAUGGCAGAAGAGGAGAGAGCACCCCUGGCAGGGAGGCCAUGAUGGCUAGAACUGAGUGAGUGAGAGAGUGAGUGAGUGAGUGAGUGAGUGAGUGAGUGAGUGGCUUUUUGGAAAGACCUAACGUCCAAGUAAUGAUCGGCGCUGGGGCAGUGUGAGGCUGGAUCCUCUAAGAUUAUGUGAGCUCCUGUAUGGACUUCAAGACCUUUUUUGAACUAGAAAAAAAACCAGAGGUUUUUAAGCUGUGGAGAGUCCUGGUUACAGGCUGCUGUUCUGCCUUUAGGGAAGCUAGAGGUCACAGGCAAAACAAGGGAGCCGCUGGGAAACCAGUGACAAGCCAGGGGGGAUGGCCGCUGGGUGUUGAGGUAGCAAUGGGAGCCGCUGGGAAACCAGUGACAAGCCAGGGGAGAUGGCCGCUGGGUGUUGUGGUAGCAAUGAUAACAUGAAGAAGCGCUGAAACUCUGUAUUUUGGAGAACUUGCUGGAAUGCAGAUGUGGGGACGAAGGAAUCCAGGGAGCUCCUGGCUGCAAGCAGUCCUGGGAAUAAUAAGGAUGGCUUGUGUGAGUGCAGAUGAGAGGAGAGGUCAGAGGUUGUGCCGCUGGGGCCGAGCCUCUGCCUGUGGUUCUGCUAGAGGUAGACAUAGCGAAGGAGGCGAGGUAGGUGGCUUUCAUUUAGAACAGAACUUUACAGUUUAAAAACAAAUGUUUGCUUUCUGAUUUUUAAAAUAUAUUUUCUUUUCAGGAAACUUAACUUACAAAUGUUUUGUAUUGAAAAAGAAAGCCAGAAAAAGUCACAUGGGUCUGGUAGAAGACUGUCGGCUUCCAUCCUCCUGAAUUGGGUCUUUAUUAUGUUUGAUGUGGCCUAAAUUUUUUAAACAGUGCAGAUUUGUUUGUUUUUAAGGCACCUACAGUGUUAAAAUACAACCUCAGUAUAAUG